CGAGUGGCGGACGGGUGAGUAAUGUCUGGGAAACUGCCUGAUGGAGGGGGAUAACUACUGGAAACGGUAGCUAAUACCGCAUAACGUCGCAAGACCAAAGAGGGGGACCCUCGGGCCUCUUGCCAUCGGAUGUGCCCAGAUGGGAUUAGCUUGUUGGUGGGGUAACGGCUCACCAAGGCGACGAUCCCUAGCUGGUCUGAGAGGAUGACCAGCCACACUGGAACUGAGACACGGUCCAGACUCCUACGGGAGGCAGCAUG
RNAcentral lists this ribosomal RNA (260 nucleotides) under uncultured bacterium. RNAcentral describes it as "partial 16S ribosomal RNA". It matches the Rfam family "Bacterial small subunit ribosomal RNA", at positions 92 to 353 of the family's 1533-position model. The record is from RNAcentral.